RNAcentral lists this unclassified non-coding RNA (323 nucleotides) under fungal sp. Its description in RNAcentral is "partial internal transcribed spacer region". The stretch from base 1 to 46 matches the Rfam family "Eukaryotic small subunit ribosomal RNA", at positions 1786 to 1831 of the family's 1831-position model. Lineage: Eukaryota; Fungi. The record is from RNAcentral.
AAGUCGUAACAAGGUUUCCGUAGGUGAACCUGCGGAAGGAUCAUUACAAAUCCAUUUUUUUUCUCUUUAAGGUGCCAGCUGAGCGGGUUGACGAGGUCUCACAACCUUGUCCUUCUGCUCGCUGCCCUUAAGGGAAAAAAAAAACCAUAUACCUCAAAAACCCCUUUGUGCACUGUUGAAAAGGCGUCAACGUGGGGAGUACCCCCGUUAGUCGUCUACCCAUUUCAAAACGCUUUUAAUUUUGUUUUGCCUAAAGGUUUUUGAACCCAAGUGAUUUAAAUAAAUCUAAAAUACAACUUUUAGCAACGGAUCUCUUGGCUCUC